UACGGGGGGGAGCAAGCGUUGUUCGGAUUUACUGGGCGUAAAGGGCGCGUAGGCGGUCGUGACAAGUCACUUGUGAAAUCUCCGGGCUUAACUCGGAACGGUCAAGUGAUACUGUCGUGCUAGAGUACAGAAGGGGCAACUGGAAUUCUCGGUGUAGCGGUGAAAUGCGUAGAUAUCGAGAGGAACACCUGAGGUGAAGACGGGUUGCUGGGCCAACACUGACGCUGAUGCGCGAAAGCCAGGGGAGCAAACAGG
Molecule: ribosomal RNA, 255 nt
Filed under: uncultured bacterium
Lineage: Bacteria
Description: partial 16S ribosomal RNA
Rfam family: Bacterial small subunit ribosomal RNA
Source: RNAcentral